Molecule: ribosomal RNA, 759 nt
Filed under: uncultured fungus
Lineage: Eukaryota; Fungi
Description: eukaryotic LSU rRNA
Rfam family: Eukaryotic large subunit ribosomal RNA
Source: RNAcentral
ACGGCGAGUGAAGCGGGAUUAGCCCAAUAUUAGAAGCUGGUCAGCCUAGCGCUGGUCCCGCGUUGUAUAUUGUUGGGGCGCUACCUAGUAUCAGGCCUUUCGGUUAAAGUUCCUUGGAACAGGACGUCAAAGAGGGUGAAAACCCCGUGGAUAAUCGAAUGACAUACCAGCUUGAUGCGUCUAUGGUGCGCUUCCUUAGAGUCGGAAUGUUUGGGAUUGCAUUCCAAAGUGGGUGGUAAACUCCAUCUAAGGCUAAAUACUGGCGAGAGACCGAUAGCGAACAAGUACCGUGAGGGAAAGUUGAAAAGCACUCUGGAGAGAGAGUCAAACAGUACGUGAAAUUGUUAGCAGGGAAACGUUGGGCACCAGUACGCGGCAAUCAAUAUCGAUGAUCAGUCGGGCAGGUUGAAGAAUUAUUGUGUGGUGUUUACUUUGGAGACUAUCCUCGGAUGGCUCACGCAUUCUCAUUCUUUAAUCUACCGGUGCACUCUUCGGUAGCCGGGUCAACAUCAGUUAAUGACGUUCGAUAAGCUUUUAGGCAAGGUAGCAUCGAUGGGUUCUGCUCAUCUUUGAACUUAUAGGUCUAUUAUGCGAGGAUGUCGUUGACUGAGGCGGCAUUCGGUUCGCGCGCUUCGGCGCAGGGCGUAUGGAUAAGGUCAAGGUCGCCCGUGGUGCUAAGCAGCUUGCUGAUUAGUAUUCAUUUUGUUGUGUUUACACAACAGUGGUGAUCGUCUUGUCUAUACAAGCCACUAGCGAGCC